UCGCCUGCACGAAGUUGGAAUUGCUAGUAAUCGUGGAUCAGCAUGCCACGGUGAAUACGUUCCCGGGUCUUGUACACACCGCCCGUCACACCAUGGGAGCCGGUAAUACCCGAAGUCAGUAGUCUAACCGCAAGGAGGACGCUGCCGAAGGUAGGAUUGGCGACUGGGGUGAAGUCGUAACAAGGUAAC
RNAcentral lists this ribosomal RNA (189 nucleotides) under uncultured bacterium. RNAcentral's name for it is "partial 16S ribosomal RNA". It matches the Rfam family "Bacterial small subunit ribosomal RNA", at positions 1312 to 1500 of the family's 1533-position model. The record is from RNAcentral.